RNAcentral lists this ribosomal RNA (729 nucleotides) under Pseudomonas sp. 110623_PC_C1_A11. RNAcentral describes it as "bacterial SSU rRNA". It matches the Rfam family "Bacterial small subunit ribosomal RNA", at positions 20 to 744 of the family's 1533-position model. RNAcentral also lists the same sequence under 5 other names. Lineage: Bacteria; Pseudomonadati; Pseudomonadota; Gammaproteobacteria; Pseudomonadales; Pseudomonadaceae. The record is from RNAcentral.
UGGCUCAGAUUGAACGCUGGCGGCAGGCCUAACACAUGCAAGUCGAGCGGAUGACGAGAGCUUGCUCUCUGAUUCAGCGGCGGACGGGUGAGUAAUGCCUAGGAAUCUGCCUGGUAGUGGGGGACAACGUCUCGAAAGGGACGCUAAUACCGCAUACGUCCUACGGGAGAAAGCAGGGGACCUUCGGGCCUUGCGCUAUCAGAUGAGCCUAGGUCGGAUUAGCUAGUUGGUGAGGUAAUGGCUCACCAAGGCGACGAUCCGUAACUGGUCUGAGAGGAUGAUCAGUCACACUGGAACUGAGACACGGUCCAGACUCCUACGGGAGGCAGCAGUGGGGAAUAUUGGACAAUGGGCGAAAGCCUGAUCCAGCCAUGCCGCGUGUGUGAAGAAGGUCUUCGGAUUGUAAAGCACUUUAAGUUGGGAGGAAGGGUUGUAGAUUAAUACUCUGCAAUUUUGACGUUACCGACAGAAUAAGCACCGGCUAACUCUGUGCCAGCAGCCGCGGUAAUACAGAGGGUGCAAGCGUUAAUCGGAAUUACUGGGCGUAAAGCGCGCGUAGGUGGUUUGUUAAGUUGGAUGUGAAAGCCCCGGGCUCAACCUGGGAACUGCAUUCAAAACUGACAAGCUAGAGUAUGGUAGAGGGUGGUGGAAUUUCCUGUGUAGCGGUGAAAUGCGUAGAUAUAGGAAGGAACACCAGUGGCGAAGGCGACCACCUGGACUGAUACUGAC